UUCCGGUUGAUCCUGCCGGAGGACAUUGCUAUUGGGAUUCGAUUUAGCCAUGCUAGUCGAGCGAGUUCAGACUCGCGGCGAAUAGCUCAGUAACACGUGGCCAAGCUCCCCUUCAGUCAGCGAUACCCUCGGGAAACUGAGGUUAACAGCUGAUACAAGACGCCAGCUGGAAUGCGGCGUUUCAGAAAGACAUCGCUGAAGGAUGCGGCUGCGGCCGAUUAGGUAGACGGUGGGGUAACGGCCCACCGUGCCAGUAAUCGGUACGGGUGAUGAGAGUCAGAGCCCGGAGACGGAAUCUGAGACAAGAUUCCGGGCCCUACGGGGCGCAGCAGGCGCGAAACCUUUACACUGCACGGAAGUGCGAUAGGGGAAUCCCAAGUGCGAGGGCAUAUUAGCCCUCGCUUUUCUCGACUGUAAGGUGGUCGACGAAUAAGAGCUGGGCAAGACCGGUGCCAGCCGCCGCGGUAAUACCGGCAGCUCAAGUGAUGUCCCAUAUUAUUGGGCCUAAAGCGUCCGUAGCUGGCCGACCAAGUCUACCGGGAAAUCCACCCGCCCAACGGGUGGGCGUCCGGUAGAAACUGGCCGGCUUGGAACCGGAAGGCUCAGAGAGUACGUCCGGGGUAGGAGUGAAAUCCCGUAAUCCCGGACGGACUACCGAUGGCGAAAGCACUCU
Molecule: ribosomal RNA, 673 nt
Filed under: uncultured archaeon
Lineage: Archaea
Description: bacterial SSU rRNA
Rfam family: Archaeal small subunit ribosomal RNA
Source: RNAcentral